CGUACGAACGCUUUGUGUCUUAAUUGAGAUGACGAGCUUGCUCUGAUUUGAUUUUUUGUAUUUCAAAGAGUGGCGAACGGGUGAGUAACACGUGGGUAACCUACCUCUUAGCAGGGGAUAACAUUUGGAAACAAGUGCUAAUACCGUAUAACAUCAACAACCGCAUGGUUGUUGAUUGAAAGAUGGUUCUGCUAUCACUAAGAGAUGGACCCGCGGUGCAUUAGCUAGUUGGUAAGGUAAUGGCUUACCAAGGCAAUGAUGCAUAGCCGAGUUGAGAGACUGAUCGGCCACAAUGGGACUGAGACACGGCCCAUACUCCUACGGGAGGCAGCAGUAGGGAAUCUUCCACAAUGGGCGCAAGCCUGAUGGAGCAGCGCCGCGUGUGUGAUGAAGGGUUUCGGCUCGUAAAACACUGUUAUAAGAGAAGAACGGCACUGAGAGUAACUGUUCAGUGUGUGACGGUAUCUUACCAGAAAGGAACGGCUAAAUACGUG
RNAcentral lists this ribosomal RNA (494 nucleotides) under uncultured Weissella sp. RNAcentral's name for it is "bacterial SSU rRNA". It matches the Rfam family "Bacterial small subunit ribosomal RNA", at positions 39 to 507 of the family's 1533-position model. Lineage: Bacteria; Bacillati; Bacillota; Bacilli; Lactobacillales; Lactobacillaceae. The record is from RNAcentral.